UGUGAGCUCCUUUUUUUUUAUAUAUAAUAUAGGAGUGAUCAAUCCAGACAGAUGAUCGUUUCUGCACAAAAGCAAACAGAACAGAAAGCACUGAAAGGGAGCUCAAAAUAGGUACAAACAUCCAAUUGUUCAGUAUCACUGCUUGGACUUAACGUAGCCUGUUCUGAUAGAAGGAUUCCAUCUAAUAUUUGUUGUACCUUUCGCCACAUAUAAAAUCAAGCAAUCUAAUGAGACUCAUCUUUGAUUCAAUUAGCCAAAUGCUGAGUCAGCACAUCACCUGCACCACAAUUCACAGAUCUAGUACACUUAAUUUAUCAAAAUAUAGUUUCAUUGCUCCCCUGCAUGCAAAGCUCAAACACAGAAUAAAUCAGCAAAAACUAACAAAGA
This 387-nucleotide unclassified non-coding RNA is filed under the name Hevea brasiliensis (rubber tree). Lineage: Eukaryota; Viridiplantae; Streptophyta; Magnoliopsida; Malpighiales; Euphorbiaceae. The record is from RNAcentral.